Long non-coding RNA from Peromyscus californicus insignis, 5242 nucleotides. RefSeq lists it as uncharacterized. NCBI's taxonomy places the organism in Eukaryota, Metazoa, Chordata, Mammalia, Rodentia, Cricetidae. The transcript has 3 exons. The record is from RefSeq and is a predicted model, not a curated record.
UUCUAAGUCAACAAAACACCAUACAGGAUCCAGACAUCCUGUGUAUUUCCUGUCUUUAUGUGGCUUAUUCUUUUCAUAUUGUUUUAUUCUCUCUUUAAAGACUUUACUAUUUUUAAAGUAUUUUAAAGUUGAUACUCACUUUCUUUUCUUUCUUCAGAAUCUAAGCACAUUUUAAAGCAUGUUGUAACCUGUUCAGAGGUUUUCUUGGCCUGGACCUGACUUUACUAAGUGCCUGCAGCUGUUCACUUGCAGUGUUCUCUGAUGAGUCCUCUCUCUGCCCAGAAGUCCCACCUAUACCUCCUGCCUAGCUAUUGGCCGUUCAGCUUUUUAUUACAGCAAUCACGGCAAUCCAUCUUCAUACAGUGUACAAGUAUCCCACAACAGGCUAGCCUUUCCCUCAACCCAGAAUCUGCACUCUGCUUAGGUAACUGGAGAGAUCAUUUCACCAAAUGCUUUAACCUUCAUGGUUAUAAGAGGAUCUUCACCUCCAUGGAAGAAAGACAGGAAGAUAAGAGACAGCAAAAUGUUCCAUCCUGGGACCACAUCCCACAGCAAGUGCUCAUGAAAAACACUUGGAUGAUCUAAAAUGAUAUCUCCAAAUCCAAGGGUCUUGUUUCACUUUAAUUCAAAACUAUUUAAAAAUCAUAGGCAGGUACCUUCUGUCAAACCAAACACUCAACCAAGAUUUUCACCCGAAGAUGUUACACCAAAGGUUUCUCACAACCUACCAACUCCAAACCUAGAGCCAAGAAACACAACUCAGGUCACCAUCUCACCUCUAGAGGCAUCCCAAACAAGCCCCAGAAAUCUGAAGCCAUUUGACAUCUGAUUUUCUAUUCUCUGAAUGUCCCAGAAGUGUAAAGGUGUCUGUCCACAAAUGAGCCACCUCCUAGAACUUCUCAUUAGAACCAAAUGAUCCACUUGGCUAUGUUGUCCUCCUUCCCAGAGUCAGACCCCUUCCCCACCCCAUGGUUAUAAAGACCAGGAGUCCAUCAUGAAAAUCAGGAGCAUCAGGAAAUGACGUGUGUGUUCCACUUAUUGCACAGUCUAUAUGAAAUUCAAUGCUAUUGCUAAAAACUAGCUGGUCAUUUUACAUCAACAAGAUUAGGAUCUUGACUAAAUAAGCUGGCCAAAAUUAGUGGAGAACGUUUUCACGCAUCCACAGACAAACACUCAUGGAGGAAUUAUGUGUGCCAGGCUCUCCUAUGGCAUGACAGUGGAGGGGGAAGCUCUUUCCUGGUGUAUCAUUCCCCACCCGGAGGACCAAGACACACAGAGUGACCAUGAGCCAUGUAUGAGCACACGUCUUUUGAGGAGCCUGGGAACAGAAUGAGACGGAAGGGCAAGGGAGAAGGGAAGUCGUGGAGCAGGGGUGGGGGAAGGGCUUUCAGGAUGACAGUUACAGGCAAGCUGCGGCAGAUAAAGAAAGGCAUUCCAAACAGAGGGGACAGGCAAGUGUUGGCCUGUAAGCUGGAAACUGUAACCAUUCAGAGACAGAAAUGAGUAGUCUCAUAAAGAGCAUCAAAGGGAAGCUGGCUAGGGCCACAUCCUAGCUGCCUUGCCGAGGAGGUUGACCUUCAUGGAAGAGCACUGAGGCUGUUGGAGAAGCUAUAUUGGCUGCCAACAAGAACACAACUUCCACUGUGGGCCCAUAGCUCUUGCUGCCUGUCUUGUGUCCUAACUGCAGCCUCUCUCAGAGAAGCGAUGAAUAAAUAUUUCACAAUGUGAUGAAGUCACAGAUGAUACCCACGUGCACUGCGACCAAAUGAAUGAACAAUGCAUGAGAAAUUCAAUUCAGUGGUGAUGUUGCAGAGGACUAGACAGAGGUCGAAGAGGAAAAAAAAACCGAUACAGAAGACAAAUGCAUGCCAUAGGUAAGCAUUCUGGCAGUUAGUUUUAAGUACAUUAUUUCAUUAACCUUCACCAGAAAAAAAAAAUCCUAAUCUCAAUGAUAAAAAAAAUACUAUUCUUUUUUUCCAGUUUUCCUUUGAGAUGGAGUCUUACUGUGUAUGUAUCCCAGGCCUGCUGGGAACUUUAGAUUCUUCUGCCUCAGACAGACUCCCAAUCUCUAGAAUAAUAAGAUGAAUCUCGAGAGGGUCUAACACCAGAAGCCAGAACUGCCUGUGACGGCAACUGUGCUCUUUAAUGGGUCAAGCAUUGUGAAAUAGAAGGAAGGGGUCACCGUGACAGUGUGACAGAGGUCAGACCAGUUGUACUUGAGUGGAUCCUGGCUGGCGCUAAGAAGGAGAGAACAGAAGGGCACUGAGGAAGCAAUUAAUUAAAGUGGGUAUCUGCCAGAAGGAUGAGUGUGUGGAGAAAAAUGAAAGGUUACAAUCAACACUAGCACAUGAGCAGGAUGCCUUCACAGCAUCAGUUGGUACACAGUGAUGCUCUGGGGGCUUCUCGUAUUCCAGGCAGCAUCCUAAGUGCCUUAUACGUACUUUUGUUAAUCUUCCAUUCGAUUUUCCAGUUUGACUACUGCCAUGUUGUCUAAGAUGGGUUAGUGUGGUGAUUAGUGCUCAUUAUUAACACAAUCUGAACUCACCAGGGAAGAGAAUCUCAGUGAGGGACUGUUUAGCUCAGGCUGGCCUAUGGACAAGUCCGUGGGUGGCUGCCUUGAUUACCCUAAUUAAGGUGGGGAGAGACCAGCCCACUGUGGGCAGCACCAUCCCCUAAGUGGGGGUCACAACUGUGUAAGAAUAGGAAGGAGGCUGAGUGUUAGUACGAAUGUGUGCAUUUUCUCUUCUCUUGACUGAGGUUGUGAUAUGAUGAGCGACUUCAAGCUCCUGCCUUGACUUCCCCACAAUGGUGGCCUGCAACCUGGAACCGCUUUCCCAGCAAUGGCACAGAAGCAGCCCCAAAUGAAAGCAAUGACCAAGGAAUGGCAGCAGGCUGGACCAGGAGAGGGAUGAGGAGCCGAGCUGCGGGUCCUUGCUGAAGCAGUGGGAAGCACUGGGUUUAUUGAGUUACACCCCUGAAUAUAUGUCUUUUUGUUCCUAGUAGUUUGUGUGAUGAGUUGAGAGGUGAACGUGAAAGUCCUUGCAUGUCAUAGCUAACGUGAGGCCCCUGAAGAAGCACGUGUGAGUCCCCUUGAAUGACAAGCUCAACUAGCUGCUUAUUCUGGGAAAGCUGGAUGUGACUGAGAGAAAGGCCACAAAAUAGCAGUUAUUGGGCUUAGGAUCCAGGCAAAUGUUUAUGUGCUCAAUAGAUAAAUAAACAAAUAAGCAAAGUGAGCUUGUCAUUUCAAGGAAGACAGCUGAUAAAAUUUGUGGCCAGUGAUAAAACACAAACUUUCAUGCAAAAUUAGACUUUUGAGAAACUUGUAUAUCUGCUGCUGAGAACGCCACAGCUUCUCAAUCCUUAAAGACCUUGUGAUGGGACCAGUGGCUGCAUCAAAAAGAAAGAGAGAGAGAGAGAGAGAGAGAGAGAGAGAGAGAGAGAGAGAGAGAAAUAAAAUCUGAACUCUUCAUAUCACACUGUGAAAAGCAUCAACAUCUGAACAAACACCAUCCUUCAGUGCUGUGUGACUCUGCUCCUAGGGAGGUGUGAACAUACACCUACUCACCCCAUAUAGGGAACCCAUGGCAGACUAAAAUGAGGAUAGUACCAAAGCCAAACUUGGUGAACCAAUGUGUUUUAUUGGGGUUAUUUACAGGGAAUGGGUGAGGCGUUACUCACAGGCGCAGAAACAACUCCAAGACAGCUGUAUCACCAAGCCCAGCCAAGGACAGCUAACAGGUCAUGGAAGCCAGAAACCUGGAGUGCACUGCACACCUGCAGGCAGCUCCAUGGAUUGGGACAUCACUUUCAGGCAGCUCAGGUGGCCUGAGGCUCGUAGAGACAGCUUGGCUGGUCGCUGCCUUUUUCAGACAAUUCUGCUCCUCUGAGUCUCUGGGCCAGUAAUUGUCAACCUUCCUAAUGCUGUGACCCUUUAAUACAAUUCCUCAUAUUGUGGUGACCCCCAACCAAUUAAAUUAUUUGCGUUACUACCUCAUAACUGUCAUUUUGUUAUUGUUAUGAAUCAUAAUAUAAAUGUCUGUGUUUUGUAUGAUCUUAGGAGACCCCAGUGAAAGGGUCAUUCAACCCCCAAAGGGAUCAAAACCCACAGGUUGAGAACCACUGCUCUAGGCAGUCUGGCUUGUCUGAGGGUUUUCUAGGUAGCUCUCAGCCUGUCUAAAUGCCUCUGCUUAUAAGAACUUGUGGAGGGCCCUAUGAAUCUGGUCAGUUUCAGGAACUUCCUAAAACCUUUGAGUUGUUCACUUCCCUUAAGGAACUUCCCUCUAAAAUGGAAGGUUUUUCUCUUAUAGGCAAUUUUCACAACAUUUGGUGAGAUAGUAAUUUCAAAUGACCUAUAAAAUCAAAAAAUUUGCACCUAAAGUAUAAGAUAGGUAAAUGGACUGUAAGAUAAACAACAACAAAUAAUAACAGCCUCAUACUAUACAUAGUAAUAAACUUCAGAAAUUUUCAAUUGUCUCAAGUUUGGAUGUCAAAUCAAAGGAUACUCAUCAUUAUAUAAAAGGACUGAUGAACUAUUUUUAAUGUCUCUCAGCUGCAUGUCUGCAUGAAGCAGGAUUUUCUUCAUUUACCUCAUCUGAAAUAAUAUAACACAAGAGCUGAAAUGAAGAGACCGUUUUUGAGAAUGCCCCUGCCUUCUAGUAAAUCAGACACUCAAGAGAGUUACAAACUCUAAGUCAAUGAACUUUCUCACUAACUUUGCCUCUUGAAAGAAUAUUUUUCAUUAAAAAUAUAGUGUACUUACAUGAUGCAUUUAUUUGUCUAACUUUAGGUGAGUUGAUGAAUGUAUUUAAAUUUCUGAAUUUUGUGUCUAACAUAGUAAAUAUUCCCCGAAAAAGAACACUUCAGCAAACUCUCUUUGGGAUCCUCAAUAUUUUUUCCAAAUAUAAAGAGGAUUUUGAGGUGAAGCCCCUGUCGAUUUGGGGCUGGCCAGUUCAGGACACAUAGCUUGUAAAUUGAUGACGUGGAUCUGAACCCCACUCCAAGCCCUUUGCCUCCCUCACUGUGCUGGGUACAGCACAUCCAGUUUCCGACAGGCUGUAUUUGAGGGACUCACUCUCCCACAAGCCUGCUUUGGCUCACAGUCAUUCAGUUCAAGCCCCACCCACUAGAGAUUUAAAAUAAUAGUAGACAGUUAAAUGGACUGUUGUACCGAGUGAUACCGAGAGACAACCCCAAAUAACACGAUUUAACAUAACAGAGUCUGUCUUGGUCAUGCUAAGUCUGC